Limulus polyphemus (Atlantic horseshoe crab) is the source of this 2321-nucleotide RNA transcript. It is a transcript of the gene named monocarboxylate transporter 12-like, with no coding region annotated. The transcript has 6 exons. The record is from RefSeq and is a predicted model, not a curated record. NCBI's taxonomy places the organism in Eukaryota, Metazoa, Arthropoda, Merostomata, Xiphosura, Limulidae.
UAUCGCAUAGCAACAGGAGGUCAAUGUCUACAGCAGGCACAGUAAGUGAUUUAUUGUGAUAAAAUUUAACAUACUUUUAAAGUUCUAUUGAAAUAAAAAGUUCAAAUGGAUCGGGAUCCACGCCUAGUUUCCGGACUGGUGAAAAAUGAUACAAACAGCGUUAAUCAAAGAUGUAAUGAUGUAUAUUCCUAUUCAAUGGACCAGAAUGAUAUAGGGGUCUUGAACCAGAUGAAUGAUGAAAAAUUACAAGAAAAAACUCAGAUGUUAUACACAUCGAAAUACUGUUUUAACAAAGCAGAAGAACACUUCGAAGGAAUAUGCUCAGAAAAUGAAGAUAACGAAAUCGAUAAUACCCAGACGCAAACAUUCUCAUCAAAUACUGAUUUUUACCAGCGUUGGUGUUGGGUUGUUGUCUGUGCUGUCUUCGUGGGAUUUUCCUUACUUGCUGGACUUUUUUAUACUGUAAAUCUACAUUUUGUAGUUUUCCUGCAUGAAUUUCACGAGUCUAGAGCUCACACUGCGUGGAUAGGCUCCUUGUUUACUGCAAUGAUGCAACUAGGAGGCCCUUUUGCAACUAUAAUUAUCAAGGCAGUUGGCUGCCGGACAACAAUUAUUAGUGGGGCAGUUGGAAUGACAAUUGGAUAUAUUAUAAGCUCAUUCGCAACGGGAGUAAACUAUCUUAUAGUUUCUCUAGGAAUUUUUACAGCUUCCUGCAUUAGUCUGGUCUACAGUGGCUUCACAGUAGCUCUUGGUCUCUACUGUCAUAAAUACCAUGGUAUAAGUACUGGAAUUGCCUUUUCUGGUGUUGGAUUUGGAAUAUUUCUUUUUUCUCACAUGUUACAGAAUAUUCUGGAUGAAUAUGGAUGGAGAGGAAUGAUGUUUAUAGAGGCUGGCAUGGCACUAAAUGUUUGUGUUUGUGGAGCAAUGAUAUUUCCACUUCCCUCAACUAGCAGCCAAUCAUCACAGUUUGUUGAUGUUGGUAAGGAAACAUCACUCAUAGUUGUUGAAAAUGUAACUGACGAAGCAAAAGUGCAGACAUUUCUUAAAAAGAUUUGUAAUCAUUCCAAAUUCAGUAAACCUGUAGCUUUUGGAAGUGCUUUUCUUAGAGCAAAUUUGCUCUUUGUUGAUCCCAAAUUUACGUGUUUCAACAUAGCAUGCACUUUUUGGAUCAUGGGAGUAUUUGCACUUUAUGUGAUUUACAAAGACAUUGCCAUUUUCUUUGAUCAUGGGGAUCAGUUUUCAACUGUUCUAUCUUGUAUGGGUAUAGCAGACAUCAUUGGCAGGGUUUUAGUUGGGAUCAUAUCCACAAAUCCAAAGUGUCAUACUGUAGUUUAUUCAGUUGUAUGCCAUUUUGUAACAAGCAUUGCAAUAGCACUGCAUAUAUUUGCUAAGCCAUUUGAAGUCUUUUUAUCUCUUGGAAUUGUCUUCUCUUUUUGCUAUGCCAAGCAGUGUGUUAUACUUGCUCUAGCUCCAGCAGCAAUGUAUGGAAGGGAACGGUUAGCUGCUACAUUUGGAUGUUUGCUGUUUUUCUGUGGAUGUGGAGCUCUCAUCGGACCCCCUAUAGGAGGAUGGUUGAUGGAUACUACUGGUAACUGUACAGCAUUGAUUUGGUUUAGUUCUCUCUCUAAUCUUGGAGCUGCAUUCCUAAUGCUUGUUGUUUAUCUUCUUAUAAAGAAUGAAAAAAAAUGUGAACAGUUGAUGCUUCAAACAAAAGUAUAAGAAUUAAUUUAAUCGUGGGAUUCUUGUUUCGGAUGAACUGGCAUCUGAGGUUUCUUUUCUCAAGUAUAUUUUCAUGAAUUUGGUCAGAGAGUUUCCAUGAUCAGAGAACAAAAGCCACAUGUACUUCUCCAAACUACUUCCAGUGCUUAUUAAAAGAGAGAAAAUGCCAUCAACCAUCAAGGAGAAGACACCUCUUCAUUUCUCAAAGAGUAGACAAGACUUCAGUUCUGUUUUCACUUUUGUUAAAGGCAGAAUUUUUUCAUCUUUCACUCUUUAAAGAAAUAUCCAAUAUUCCUUUAAUAAUUUUCCAUCCCAAUUCAUGCUGGAACCACCAAAAGUCAUGUCCUCUGUCAGACCUGAAGAUAGUAGAGUUUUACAAAGACUUUUGAAGAUUUCUUUCUUAUAACUGUUAACUUUAUUAUUUAAAGAAAUCCUUGUUAAUAUGCCAGUCUUAUUAAUAUCAAAGUGUAUGAAAAAUAUUUUUUUCUGCAGGUCCCAUGGUGGGACAGCUGUAAGUUUACAGAAUUACAAAGUUGAAUUUUGAGGUUCAGUUCCUUGCAGUGGACACAUCAGAUAGCACAACGUGGCUUUGCUCUAAAAAA